RNAcentral lists this ribosomal RNA (460 nucleotides) under uncultured bacterium. Its description in RNAcentral is "partial 16S ribosomal RNA". It matches the Rfam family "Bacterial small subunit ribosomal RNA", at positions 338 to 795 of the family's 1533-position model. The record is from RNAcentral.
CCUACGGGUGGCAGCAGUGAGGAAUAUUGGUCAAUGGGCGCGAGCCUGAACCAGCCAAGUAGCGUGAAGGAUGACUGCCCUACGGGUUGUAAACUUCUUUUAUAAAGGAAUAAAGUGAGGCACGUGUGCCUUUUUGUAUGUACUUUAUGAAUAAGCAUCGGCUAACUCCGUGCCAGCAGCCGCGGUAAUACGGAGGAUGCGAGCGUUAUCCGGAUUUAUUGGGUUUAAAGGGUGCGUAGGUUGUUUUUUAAGUCAGUGGUGAAAGUUUGUGGCUCAACCAUAAAAUUGCCGUUGAAACUGGAAGACUUGAGUGUGUUUGAGGUAGGCGGAAUGCGUGGUGUAGCGGUGAAAUGCAUAGAUAUCACGCAGAACUCCGAUUGCGAAGGCAGCUUACUAAACUGUGACUGACAUUGAUGCUCGAAAGUGUGGGUAUCGAACAGGAUUAGAUACCCUUGUAGUC